Molecule: long non-coding RNA, 1098 nt
Filed under: Gossypium barbadense (sea-island cotton)
Lineage: Eukaryota; Viridiplantae; Streptophyta; Magnoliopsida; Malvales; Malvaceae
Description: long non-coding RNA (GBAR_LNC022367)
Source: RNAcentral
AAGACUCCAAUCCAAUGAGAUGCGGUAAAACAGCUGCACUGACAGAUGACAACAGCCAAGAAGCUAAAGCACAAUCUUGCUGUUGAAAUCUUGAAAACGCAAGAUUAUCCUGAAGACUUCCAUCUUCACUCAGAACCUGUCAAGGAGGGGGAGUCGUACUGGAAUCAAGAAACUGUUGUAGAUUGUGAGUUUUAACAGCCAAAAUCACCUGCUGACGCCAUAGCAGGUAAUUAGUAUCAUCAAGCAAAAUAUUAAUCUUCUUGACAGCAACAAAUCGACUGUCAACAACAGCUUCAGAGAUAUGAGAAGCCAUUCCAGGCGUAUCAGAAUGCACAGGAGACGGACUAGUAGGAAAAGCCAUAAGAACACAGGCCCUCAAGGAUCUACCAAAAAAGAAAUAAAAUUUGAUACCAUGUUAUGAUAUUCAAAAGAAGUAUUUUUAUUAUUGAACCCGUAUCAACAUACUUACAGUACUCAUAUUUAUAGUAGUUGGCUUAUAUCAGACUAACCAUCUAACUAACUAUUAACAACUGAUAACUAACUAACUGUUAAUUAGUUAUACUAACAGUUCAUCCCUACCCUGAUUAGCCUCGUCCUCAGUAAAUGUUAAUCGGGAAAACAAGUUAUUAAUAUCUUCAGCCAUUGUAGAAACCUAUGACCACAACCAACCGACCAAAGAAAGCAAAGAUACCCAAAGUUAAGACCACCAAAACCAGGAGGAGCAGCCAUGCGAGCAAGAAAACACAACCUUUAAAACACACUCCGGCACAAGCAAUACACCACCCAGAACCAGAACACAAGGCAAAACAAAAAUGAAAAGAACCAUAAAAUAUUUUCACAAGUAACUCAAAAAUUACAAAUCACCAAACGAAACGAAGCCAGAGAAACCAGGAUCAAAUCCAUCAAAACAAAAACAAGACAGGAAAAUCAACAGCCAUUAAAUCCAAAAGAAGUAAAACAAAAAAUCAGAAUAACAAAACCCAAUUAAACAGUCCUUUUACGACCUAGGAAAACAAACUAAACUUACAAAGGACAAAGAAAACAAAAUAAAAAAGAAGAAUCAAAAGAAAAACCUCUAGUAAAACUUUGUAGGCAGAU